GACGAACGCUGGCGGCGUGCCUAAUACAUGCAAGUUGAGCGCUGAAGGUUGGUACUUGUACCGACUGGAUGAGCAGCGAACGGGUGAGUAACGCGUGGGGAAUCUGCCUUUGAGCGGGGGACAACAUUUGGAAACGAAUGCUAAUACCGCAUAAAAACUUUAAACACAAGUUUUAAGUUUGAAAGAUGCAAUUGCAUCACUCAAAGAUGAUCCCGCGUUGUAUUAGCUAGUUGGUGAGGUAAGGGCUCACCAAGGCGAUGAUACAUAGCCGACCUGAGAGGGUGAUCGGCCACAUUGGGACUGAGACACGGCCCAAACUCCUACGGGAGGCAGCAGUAGGGAAUCUUCGGCAAUGGACGAAAGUCUGACCGAGCAACGCCGCGUGAGUGAAGAAGGUUUUCGGAUCGUAAAACUCUGUUGGUAGAGAAGAACGUUGGUGAGAGUGGAAAGCUCAUCAAGUGACGGUAACUACCCAGAAAGGGACGGCUAACUACGUGCCAGCAGCCGCGGUAAUACGUAGGUCCCGAGCGUUGUCCGGAUUUAUUGGGCGUAAAGCGAGCGCAGGUGGUUUAUUAAGUCUGGUGUAAAAGGCAGUGGCUCAACCAUUGUAUGCAUUGGAAACUGGUAGACUUGAGUGCAGGAGAGGAGAGUGGAAUUACAUGUGUAGCGGUGAAAUGCGUAGAUAUAUGGAGGAACACCGGUGGCGAAAGCGGCUCUCUGGCCUGUAACUGACACUGAGGCUCGAAAGCGUGGGGAGCAAACAGGAUUGGAUACCCUGGUAGUCCACGCCGUAAACGAUGAGUGCUAGAUGUAGGGAGCUAUAAGUUCUCUGUAUCGCAGCUAACGCAAUAAGCACUCCGCCUGGGGAGUACGACCGCAAGGUUGAAACUCAAAGGAAUUGACGGGGGCCCGCACAAGCGGUGGAGCAUGUGGUUUAAUUCGAAGCAACGCGAAGAACCUUACCAGGUCUUGACAUACUCGUGCUAUUCCUAGAGAUAGGAAGUUCCUUCGGGACACGGGAUACAGGUGGUGCAUGGUUGUCGUCAGCUCGUGUCGUGAGAUGUUGGGUUAAGUCCCGCAACGAGCGCAACCCCUAUUGUUAGUUGCCAUCAUUAAGUUGGGCACUCUAACGAGACUGCCGGUGAUAAACCGGAGGAAGGUGGGGAUGACGUCAAAUCAUCAUGCCCCUUAUGACCUGGGCUACACACGUGCUACAAUGGAUGGUACAACGAGUCGCGAGACAGUGAUGUUUAGCUAAUCUCUUAAAACCAUUCUCAGUUCGGAUUGUAGGCUGCAACUCGCCUACAUGAAGUCGGAAUCGCUAGUAAUCGCGGAUCAGCACGCCGCGGUGAAUACGUUCCCGGGCCU
RNAcentral lists this ribosomal RNA (1368 nucleotides) under uncultured bacterium. RNAcentral describes it as "bacterial SSU rRNA". It matches the Rfam family "Bacterial small subunit ribosomal RNA", at positions 28 to 1381 of the family's 1533-position model. The record is from RNAcentral.